UGGGGAAUAUUGGACAAUGGGCGAAAGCCUGAUCCAGCAAUGCCGCGUGUGUGAAGAAGGUCUUCGGAUUGUAAAGCACUUUCGACAGGGACGAUGAUGACGGUACCUGUAGAAGAAGCCCCGGCUAACUUCGUGCCAGCAGCCGCGGUAAUACGAAGGGGGCUAGCGUUGCUCGGAAUGACUGGGCGUAAAGGGCGCGUAGGCGGAUGGCACAGUCAGAUGUGAAAUUCCCGGGCUUAACCUGGGGACUGCAUUUGAUACGUGUUAUCUAGAGUGAGGAAGAGGGUCGUGGAAUUCCCAGUGUAGAGGUGAAAUUCGUAGAUAUUGGGAAGAACACCGGUGGCGAAGGCGGCGACCUGGUCCUUUACUGACGCUGAGGCGCGAAAGCGUGGGGAGCAAACAGG
This 404-nucleotide ribosomal RNA is filed under the name uncultured bacterium. RNAcentral describes it as "bacterial SSU rRNA". It matches the Rfam family "Bacterial small subunit ribosomal RNA", at positions 355 to 776 of the family's 1533-position model. The record is from RNAcentral.